RNAcentral lists this non-coding RNA (21 nucleotides) under Caenorhabditis elegans. Lineage: Eukaryota; Metazoa; Nematoda; Chromadorea; Rhabditida; Rhabditidae. The record is from RNAcentral.
UAACUUAGACAAACUUCAGGA